Xiphophorus maculatus (southern platyfish) is the source of this 1269-nucleotide long non-coding RNA. RefSeq lists it as uncharacterized. The record is from RefSeq and is a predicted model, not a curated record. NCBI's taxonomy places the organism in Eukaryota, Metazoa, Chordata, Actinopteri, Cyprinodontiformes, Poeciliidae. The transcript has 6 exons.
UGCAGUUAGCCACAGAGCCACUGCGGUUUCCCAGACCUCCGUCCUCCUCUCCGACCGGAGACGCCAACAGAUGGUGUAGCAUAGGACGUCCGCAUCGGCCCUCGGGCCCAUCAGAGCCCCCGUUGGCCAACACCGCCGCGGCUUGGAACGAGCAUAUUCAAGCAGCUCUCCCUGAGGCCCGGGAAAAUGGAUAUUGAUCUGGAGCCAUGACUAAAUGGAUUAAAUUACAGAGUAGUGUUGGUAGUGCGGCAGCAGAGAGAAUGAGACAAGAAGGAGGAGGAGGAACAAAAGAUGGCUAGGGAGACAAAACUAAAUGAGAAAGGUGGUAGUGGAAGUCUGCUAAAAGUUUUGCCUCGCAGACUGAUUUCUUUCUUGAGCAUUCCUUUAAUCCACAGCCCAACUAGCAGCCCGGUGCAAUCAUCCUUGCUCGCCGUACUCCCCAGCAUCAUCCUGGUCUUCAUACAGCCAUGUGCCAAUUGGCUACAGAGGAGUAGCUAGACAGAGGAUUAUUGUCCUCCAUUCAGCCAAGGCUGUUGAGUGGUAAGACUGCUAAAUGUGUGCUGGGAGCAAAAGAAGACUCACAAUCAUGAAUUCAGAACCUGAAUAAUUCCGCAGAGAGCGUAAAUCUGGACGAAUCUGGCCGUCAGUCACAGUCAAAGUUUGUUUGCUACAAACAGUUAAUCAAUCAGCAAACCUUCUUAAGCUUUUCUCCUGCACAGCCUUGCUGAUGGGCCCAGGGGCUGCGGAGAAUCGUUUUCUGAGUGCGUCUCCUGUGAGCUCUGAUAUUCGGGACAUUAAUGCAUUCACUUGUGACAGGAAUAUCAAAGAGCAUCAAGGGCACAAGCAGGUCCAGCAGCGCCUUUUGCAACCUAAAGUACUUUUUCAUUGACAAUUCAUAGACCUCAACCCAGAAAGCGGAACAAAAGCUGCAAACGGAAAAGUGACAUCAAAACCAACAGGACGACUUAUGCAAAACACUAGGACAUCAGUGAACCCAUGUGUAUCCAUUCUCCUCCUUCAUGAACCAGUGGAACUUUUAAAAAGUAUCUGUCCUGUCCAUUUCUAAUAGACAGACAGGAGGACAACUACAAUGAAGGAAGAAAGAAGAUAAAGAUGAUUGAUGAUUUCUGGAGAAGUUCGGGACUGAGACCAACUCAGAACUCAUCCAUGGUGGUUUUGUUUGGCUGUUCACCAAGUCUUAAACUUGCCCAAAUGUCUGAGAUGUACUGUUGGGGUUCCAAUAAAGUUUUAAAAAAUAUGUAACUUCAA